Molecule: signal recognition particle RNA, 100 nt
Filed under: uncultured archaeon
Lineage: Archaea
Description: Bacteria_small_SRP
Rfam family: Bacterial small signal recognition particle RNA
About the family: The signal recognition particle (SRP) is a universally conserved ribonucleoprotein involved in the co-translational targeting of proteins to membranes. Archaeal SRP consists of a 7S RNA and homologues of the eukaryotic SRP19 and SRP54 proteins. In most bacteria, the SRP consists of a 4.5S RNA and the Ffh protein (a homologue of the eukaryotic SRP54 protein).
Source: RNAcentral
ACUCGUGCCCAUCGCUAUGCUUUUUUUAGUGAAUCAGGCCAGGCGGGGAACUGAGCAACCUUAAAUUAGAAAGUGCAUGUUCGGUGGAUACAUGGGGGAG